AGGAACUGUCGGAGGAGGCCGCUUCUUCCAUCUUCCACUAGCUCUCGCUCGAGGCGAUCGAAGGGGGCUCAUGUUUUUGAAUGGACUGCUGUUGCUCAAACAUCAAUAGGAAUUGAGGGGACAGGAGGCAAGCCACGGCUAUCUACGUACGCCAGCAGCCGCGGUAAUACGUAGGUGGCGAGCGCCGUCCGGAAUUAUUGGACGUAAAGGAGUGCAGUAGGUGGCUUUUUAAGGUGGGGCGUGAAAUCCCCGGGUCUUAACCCGGGAGCUGCGCUCCAAACUCGGAAAGCUAGAGUGCUGGAGAGGAAAGUGGAAUUCCAAGUGUAACCGGUGAAAUGCGUACAGAUUUGGAGGAACACCAUGUGGCCGAAGGCGACUUUCUGGACUGUAACUGACACUGAGGCAUCCGAAAGUAGUGGGGAGUUAUAUACUAGGUUCUAGAUACCCUGGGAUAGUCCACGCCCGCUAAUAACCGAUGGCGAUACUAGGUGCAGGGGGCUGAUAGACAUCUCCUGUCGCCCUCCCAGCUCAACCACAUAAUUAUAAAAUAU
This 551-nucleotide ribosomal RNA is filed under the name uncultured bacterium. RNAcentral's name for it is "partial 16S ribosomal RNA". It matches the Rfam family "Bacterial small subunit ribosomal RNA", at positions 357 to 865 of the family's 1533-position model. The record is from RNAcentral.